CCCCUCUCAGGACUGCUCCCGGAGAGUUUCCUGUACCCUACUGGCCUCAGUUAUAGGAGGGAGAGUCAAGCAGAGACAUAUCCUUUCCAUUCCUAGUUUGGGCAGUGGUUAGCGAUUGGAAGGCAAUCUGCUACAAGC
Tachyglossus aculeatus (Australian echidna) is the source of this 138-nucleotide small nucleolar RNA. The record is from RefSeq and is a predicted model, not a curated record. Lineage: Eukaryota; Metazoa; Chordata; Mammalia; Monotremata; Tachyglossidae.